UACAGAGGUCUCAAGCGUUGUUCGGAUUCAUUGGGCGUAAAGGGUGCGUAGGCGGCGCGGUAAGUCGGGUGUGAAAUCUUGGAGCUUAACUCCGAAACUGCAUUCGAUACCGCCGUGCUUGAGGACUGGAGAGGAGACUGGAAUUUACGGUGUAGCGGUGAAAUGCGUAGAUAUCGUAAGGAAGACCAGUGGCGAAGGCGGGUCUCUGGACAGUUCCUGACGCUGAGGCACGAAGGCCAGGGGAGCAAACGGG
RNAcentral lists this ribosomal RNA (253 nucleotides) under uncultured bacterium. Its description in RNAcentral is "partial 16S ribosomal RNA". It matches the Rfam family "Bacterial small subunit ribosomal RNA", at positions 524 to 776 of the family's 1533-position model. The record is from RNAcentral.